RNAcentral lists this long non-coding RNA (203 nucleotides) under Ananas comosus (pineapple). Its description in RNAcentral is "long non-coding RNA (ACOM_LNC005189)". Lineage: Eukaryota; Viridiplantae; Streptophyta; Magnoliopsida; Poales; Bromeliaceae. The record is from RNAcentral.
CUCAACCCACAGGCCUCAUAUUAACUCUUGAUCUCUAUUAUACUUGAUUAUUGUUUUUUGCAUACAACUUUCUUUUUCUUUUAAAAGUUAUUUACUAUUUUAAAAAUAAUAAAAUUUUAAAAGACAUAUUUCUACUAAAAGAACAGAAUUAUUUCCAACAGUACUUACAUCUCCAUUAAACUAUCAUUUCCACCUUUAUUCUU